RNAcentral lists this ribosomal RNA (705 nucleotides) under Roseovarius sp. RNAcentral describes it as "bacterial SSU rRNA". It matches the Rfam family "Bacterial small subunit ribosomal RNA", at positions 54 to 805 of the family's 1533-position model. Lineage: Bacteria; Pseudomonadati; Pseudomonadota; Alphaproteobacteria; Rhodobacterales; Roseobacteraceae. The record is from RNAcentral.
AAUGCAAGUCGAGCGAGAUCUUCGGAUCUAGCGGCGGACGGGUGAGUAACGCGUGGGAACGUACCCUCUUCUGCGGGAUAGCCACUGGAAACGGUGAGUAAUACCGCAUACGCCCUUCGGGGGAAAGAUUUAUCGGAGGAGGAUCGGCCCGCGUUGGAUUAGGUAGUUGGUGGGGUAAUGGCCUACCAAGCCUACGAUCCAUAGCUGGUUUUAGAGGAUGAUCAGCCACACUGGGACUGAGACACGGCCCAGACUCCUACGGGAGGCAGCAGUGGGGAAUCUUAGACAAUGGGCGCAAGCCUGAUCUAGCCAUGCCGCGUGAGUGACGAAGGCCUUAGGGUCGUAAAGCUCUUUCGCCUGUGAUGAUAAUGACAGUAGCAGGUAAAGAAACCCCGGCUAACUCCGUGCCAGCAGCCGCGGUAAUACGGAGGGGGUUAGCGUUGUUCGGAAUUACUGGGCGUAAAGCGCACGUAGGCGGAUUGGAAAGUAUGGGGUGAAAUCCCAGGGCUCAACCCUGGAACGGCCUCAUAAACUUCCAGUCUGGAGUUCGAGAGAGGUGAGUGGAAUUCCGAGUGUAGAGGUGAAAUUCGUAGAUAUUCGGAGGAACACCAGUGGCGAAGGCGGCUCACUGGCUCGAUACUGACGCUGAGGUGCGAAAGUGUGGGGAGCAAACAGGAUUAGAUACCCUGGUAGUCCACACCGUAA